GUUAAGGGCAGAAGCUGAACAUUCAGAACUGCGGUACUGGGCUUCCGGAAGGGACUUCUGGGGAAGUGGGAGGGUGGAAAUGCUACAGGUUCAUGAAUUAUGCAUCAAGGUAUGAGAGGAGGGGUGAUAAGGCAGAACCAGGGGACUCAAGUAUCUUGCAAAGGCUUUAUUUGAAAAUUUUGAAACUUACAUCCCACAAGAAUUCAAGAUUAUCACCACAAGAAGAAAGAGAUAAUACAAAAAUAUAUAUCACAGCAUAGGAGCCAGGUCCCUUACUGCUUCUGCUUCCAUGAAUGGUCAAGACCAAGAGAAAAGAGAGGGGAACCAGUGGGCACAGGGAGGGAUCCUCUCCACAAUGUUUCCAUUUAUACACAGAACUAAACAGACAAACACAGAAGUUGACAACAUGGGAUGGGGGAGGGACAGGUGGGAAGUAGGAGUGUCAUUAAAAAAAUACAUGCCCCCCCCAAAAAUUGGGUGCCUAGGGGAAGACUUGGUCUGUUUCAACCCAAGAGGAAUCAGAAGCUUAAAAGCAGUUUGGGAACACCAGAACCAUCAGGGAUGGAGGGAGGAGGAAGGUCCUGGAGGUCGAAGGCUAUUUGGCAAAUAGGGUGAAGGGAAUGCCCUACCCCUGCUGGGAUCCCCCCAGCCCCUCCAGUGUGGCAGGAAGGGGGCACCCUGCAACCCCAUAAGGCAGGUCUGGGGCUGCAGGAUGCUCCAGGCAAGGGGCUGGAGGGGACUCACAAAGACUUGCCCUCCAGAGAGAUGAGAGCAUUGCCCACCAGUUUUCAUUUUGUUGUUUUAACAAUAUAAUUUUCUCACAAAUUGAUACAAGCUUAAACAAUAUGUUGUUCAGUCUUACUUUCAAGUUCUAUAAAAAUGAUAUUGCAUUAUAUGUAGUCUUCUGGCACUUUUACUUGUUUUUUUCACUUAAUGUUUCCAAGAUUUAUCCAUAUUGUUGCAUGUAUCUAGAGCAUGUACUGAAAUAAAAUGU
Sciurus carolinensis (gray squirrel) is the source of this 994-nucleotide long non-coding RNA. RefSeq lists it as uncharacterized. The record is from RefSeq and is a predicted model, not a curated record. The transcript is spliced from 3 exons. NCBI's taxonomy places the organism in Eukaryota, Metazoa, Chordata, Mammalia, Rodentia, Sciuridae.